AUAUCACCCUGAGUGGAGGCUGAGAUUCAAGAAGAGGCAGAACAGCAUUUUAACAUGCCCAGUCACUUUUUGAGAGAGAAUACCUGUAAAGGAAUGAGGCACAGUUGGAAAGACCGCAGUUCAGAUGACGGACUGAAGAGAGCUGGGAAAAAUCUCAGCAGAUGGCUAAAAGAAGAUUGUAAUCAUAGCUUGCCAGCCUGAUUCAGACAGAGUUGCAAAACAACAGUCCCAAACGCAGACUGUUGCUCUUUCUGAUUAUCUCACCACAAAGAAAUUGGAGAGAUCUGUUUCUUCUGCCUUCUGAUGCCACUUGAACUUUCCAAGAUCUAUCUUAAUUUUGGAGCUUUAUAAAGACACUGAGUCUGAGCCUUACAAGCUUUUUGAGUAAAUCACUGAUAAAUCUCUCAACUUCUUUGUUUCUUUGGGGAUCUAGUUUUUCUUCUAAAACUGGUAUCAGGCUAAUAAUUGCAUGUUAUCUAAAGAAUCUAGUCCAAUGUGAUAUACGUGCCAUUCCAACAGUAAUCUAACAGGCAGCACAUUUCAAGUGGACAUUGCAAAAGUCUAUUCCACAAGAGGAAACAAAUUCUUUUUGCUAUGACCACAAAGCUUAAACCUUAUGAAUGCAGCUCCAAAUAGAAGACAAGCUGAAUAGAAACGACUGGGGAAGAGCAAUACAUAUGGUUGAUUUAAAGUCUUUUUAAAAGGUAUCUGCAAGAAGGUGUGCAAUGAAAAUAUGAUCAAAAUGCCAUGUAUUCUGAAAACAUUCGGUGCCAAAUGCAACUUAGACAGUACUGAAAAUGGAGAUUCAGUAGGAAGACUUGAGCAUCAUGCAGGCAUCAUACAAAAAAAAAGUGGAAAAAAAAAAAUUGUAGUCUAGAAAGAAGGAAUACAAAAGAUCUUUUCUUCCACUUUACCAGAGCAUGAAGUGCUGUCCCUAGAACACCAAUGAAUGGACAACGUGGCAUCCACAGAACUCAGGGAGUAAAGUUCUGUAAUGCAGUAUGAAAUCAUCUGGUUUUAUCCCGUUUACUCAAACCAGGCAGGAGUACUUGAUUUUAUAUCUUCCUACCUGUGUCAUACCAGUUUAAGAGCACUCCGCUCUCAGUCUCAGACAGGAAUCUUUUCUUCCUAACAUUUUUCAUCACUGCUAGAAGAACAAAGCUACAUACCCUUUGAAUUCCUUGGCAAAAUACUCUGGAUAGAGCAUUAUAGACGUAUGGAAAUGUAUACUUAAAUACUAUUCCAGUGAAUUGGAUGCACAUUAAUAAAGUACCACAGAAGAAAGAUGAUUCAACUAUCCUGGGGCAGUAAAAUCUGAUUAUUUAUAAGGGUGAUGGAGUGCUCUGGCAACCAGCUGCUGCAGCUUCAUGUCAAGUACAAGAGAAAUUGUUUGGAAAAGCUCCGAGAAAUACAUAGAGAAACUUCUGCUAGCAUGAACACCUGACAACAUUUAAAACACUUCCCCAAAAGACAAAUGGUUAAAGGAAAACUUCACUGUAGUCAUGUAAUAACAAAGCGGAGAUCUAAGAAGAAAAUGUCUGAAGUCAUCCAUAUAGGUGGAGAAAAUGAACUGCAUUCAAAUGGAAAUAUUGGGAGCAAACAAUUUUCUAACAAGCAAGCUGGUUCUAGCUAAUGCAACCGCAGUCAGCUGAGCUCUCCUGAGGACAGAGGGGAAUGAGUCCCCUCAGUGAGGUGGGGCAAAACAAAAAAGUUCAAAUGGAGGUCAUAGCAACUUUUUGAUACCGCAGUGCAGGUUGCAGCCUGUGUUUGAGAAAAGCACAGCUCAGCAUGGGAAAAAGCGAUGCAAAGGCUGCCCUACACUGCUUUGAUCUUCAGCUGACCAAAUGAUCCCAUCUUGCCCUCCAGCAUAUGGAGCUCUCUGGGAUAUGAUCCCGCAGGCUUUCAUAUUGGCUUGGAGGUAAACUGAAAGCAGAUAGCGGUGUUAUCUAAGAGCUUUAAGGACACUUCCUGACUUCCCACAUGGCGUUACAUCCCUCUCUGCUUCAGUGGUGCUCUCCCCCUUGGCUCCAAGGACAUGAUAGCGACAAUGAGGAAAACAAGGACAUAUUAGAUGCCUGAUGAAAAUAUCAACAGUGCAGUAUGGGCGGAGGGGAGAGCAAAAUCUGUAGAAUGUUGUCCCCUUGUAAAGCUGCAGCAAAAACAAGAAGUUCAAAUGAAGGCUACAGAACAAUUUUUUCUCUUCAGGGGGGUAGCUUGGAGGUAGUGUAAGUGGCAAAAUCCUUUCACCUUAAAAUGAGGGUUUGAUUCCAGCCCAACAUGCACCAGGCUGAUGAGCCUGAAGGAGAGGAUGAAAUUUCCUCUAGCUCAUUGAUCCACUGAGAGUUUUACUUGCCAAGGAAUGAGAAACCCUAGUUAUUCUUUCAAAGGGAUCUGUACUAUUAUGCUGUUUUGAUAUGAAACAGGUUGUAAGUAUGCAAGCUAGCCAAACUUUACUACAGAAAUACUCUUGAUUUCUCUCAAAGGAGAUUAUUUUCCUAAAUGAGGCUCCUAUAAUCACUACAGUAUGAGCAGAAACAAUCAAAUUCUGCCCCUUACACAGCACAGAAUGACAUCGCAGUGGUAAAAUACUACAAUGCGAGCAAUUAUUUUUCAUCAUUACAUUGGCUGUAAUACUCUGUACAUUACAAUGAAUUUGCAGAAAAUAUAGUCGAAAAUUUAAGUUCAAAGAUUAACAUCAGAGUACCAUUUGUUUUGUCCCUGCAGUUUUUGAUUAAUGGAGAUUGUUAAUUCAUACUGCCUCUUGGUUGAUAGUGGAGAGGUUCAUUCAUUCCACUGUCUUGAAUUUAAAUUUAGACUGCUUAUAUGUGUUCAUAUUUUCAAUUUAUAUUAUUACAUCCACUUCUGCUCUAUUCUUUGUUCAUUAGGGACCUCUGAACACCAGCUUGAGGAAGUUCUGUUAAAUGAAUCGCAUGCCCUUUGCAAGAGCUCUUUGAAUGACAUGUGUAAUUAUCAACAAUUAACAAGAUGCUAAUUAUACCUUCAAAUUAUAAUCCUACUGAGCAAAAUAAAAAUCCUUUAUGGAAGAAAAAAUUGUUAAAGACACAACACUAUAUUAAACCAAAUGACAAAAAGUUUGGCAACUUCUAAUGGUAUAAAUCAAACAAACUGCUGAACACAUCACACAGCUUGCCAGAAUGGCUCUCUGCCAAUUAGCUCUUCAGUGCAUAUUCAGUAAGGUGGGGGGAGGGUAAUGUAGAAAAAUGAAGGAGGAAGGGAAUUUAACAGACAUG
This is a long non-coding RNA of Gallus gallus (chicken), 3251 nucleotides long. The record is from Ensembl. Lineage: Eukaryota; Metazoa; Chordata; Aves; Galliformes; Phasianidae.